UCUCUCUCUCUCUCUCUGUCUCUCUCUCUCUCUAUAUAUAUAUAGAGAGAGAGAGAGAGGGGGGGGAGGGAGAGAGAGAGG
Molecule: microRNA precursor, 81 nt
Filed under: Marmota monax (woodchuck)
Lineage: Eukaryota; Metazoa; Chordata; Mammalia; Rodentia; Sciuridae
Source: RNAcentral